GGAAUUUUGGGCAAUGGGCGAAAGCCUGACCCAGCAACGCCGCGUGAAGGAUGAAGUAUUUCGGUAUGUAAACUUCGUAAGAAUGGGAAGAAUAAAUGACGGUACCAUUUGUAAGGUCCGGCUAACUACGUGCCAGCAGCCGCGGUAAUACGUCGGGACCAAGCGUUGUUCGGAUUUACUGGGCGUAAAGGGUGCGUAGGCGGCGCGUCAAGUCAGUUGUGAAAUCUUAAGGCUUAACCUUAAGCGGUCAACUGAUACUGUCGUGCUAGAGUGCAGAAGGGGCAAUCGGAAUUCUUGGUGUAGCGGUGAAAUGCGUAGAUAUCAAGAGGAACACCUGAGGUGAAGACGGGUUGCUGGGCUGACACUGACGCUGAGGCACGAAAGCUAGGGUAGCAAAC
RNAcentral lists this ribosomal RNA (398 nucleotides) under uncultured bacterium. RNAcentral describes it as "bacterial SSU rRNA". It matches the Rfam family "Bacterial small subunit ribosomal RNA", at positions 358 to 773 of the family's 1533-position model. The record is from RNAcentral.